UGCUAAUACCGCGUAACAACAAAUCACACAUGUGAUCUGUUUGAAAGGUCCUUUUGGAUCGCUAGAGGAUGGUCUUGCGGCGUAUUAGCUUGUUGGUAGGGUAGAAGCCUACCAAGGCAAUGAUGCGUAGCCGAGUUGAGAGACUGGCCGGCCACAUUGGGACUGAGACACUGCCCAAACUCCUACGGGAGGCUGCAGUAGGGAAUUUUCCGCAAUGCACGAAAGUGUGACGGAGCGACGCCGCGUGUGUGAUGAAGGCUUUCGGGUCGUAAAGCACUGUUGUAAGGGAAGAAUAACUGAAUUCAGAGAAAGUUUUCAGCUUGACGGUACCUUACCAGAAAGGGAUGGCUAAAUACGUGCCAGCAGCCGCGGUAAUACGUAUGUCCCGAGCGUUAUCCGGAUUUAUUGGGCGUAAAGCGAGCGCAGACGGUUUAUUAAGUCUGAUGUGAAAUCCCGAGGCCCAACCUCGGAACUGCAUUGGAAACUGAUUUACUUGAGUGCGAUAGAGGCAAGUGGAACUCCAUGUGUAGCGGUGAAAUGCGUAGAUAUGUGGAAGAACACCAGUGGCGAAAGCGGCUUGCUAGAUCGUAACUGACGUUGAGGCUCGAAAGUAUGGGUAGCAAACGGGAUUAGAUACCCCGGUAGUCCAUACCGUAAACGAUGGGUGCUAGUUGUUAAGAGGUUUCCGCCUCCUAGUGACGUAGCAAACGCAUUAAGCACCCCGCCUGAGGAGUACGGCCGCAAGGCUAAAACUUAAAGGAAUUGACGGGGACCCGCACAAGCGGUGGAGCAUGUGGUUUAAUUCGAAGAUACGCGAAAAACCUUACCAGGUUUUGACAUACCAAUGAUCGCUUUUGUAAUGAAAGCUUUUCUUCGGAACAUUGGAUACAGGUGGUGCAUGGUCGUCGUCAGCUCGUGUCGUGAGAUGUUGGGUUAAGUCCCGCAACGAGCGCAACCCUUGUUAUUAGUUGCCAGCAUUUAGUUGGGCACUCUAAUGAGACUGCCGGUGAUAAACCGGAGGAAGGUGGGGACGACGUCAGAUCAUCAUGCCCCUUAUGACCUGGGCAACACACGUGCUACAAUGGGAAGUACAACGAGUCGCAAACCGGCGACGGUAAGCUAAUCUCUUAAAACUUCUCUCAGUUCGGACU
Molecule: ribosomal RNA, 1151 nt
Filed under: Oenococcus oeni
Lineage: Bacteria; Bacillati; Bacillota; Bacilli; Lactobacillales; Lactobacillaceae
Description: bacterial SSU rRNA
Rfam family: Bacterial small subunit ribosomal RNA
Source: RNAcentral